AGUGAACGCUGGCGGUAGGCCUAACACAUGCAAGUCGAACGGCAGCACAGUAAGAGCUUGCUCUUACGGGUGGCGAGUGGCGGACGGGUGAGGCAUACAUCGGAAUCUACUUUUUCGAGGGGGAUAACGUAGGGAAACUUACGCUAAUACCGCAUACGACCUACGGGUGAAAGCAGGGGAUCUUCGGACCUUGCGCGAUUGGAUGAGCCGAUGUCGGAUUAGCUAGUGGGCGGGGGAAUGGCCCACCAAGGCGACGAUCGGUAGCUGGUCUGAGAGGGUGAUCAGGCACAUUGGAUAUGAGACAGAGCCCAGACACCGACAGGGAGCAGCAGUGGAGAAUACUAGGCGAGGGAGGCAAGCCGGAUCCAGCCAAACCGGGUGAGUCAAGAAGGCGCUCGGGUUGGAGAGCCAUUAUGUUGGGAAAGAAAUGCAGCUGGUUAAUACGCCGCUGUUCUGACGGUAACCAAAGAAGAAGCACCGGCUAACUUCGUG
Molecule: ribosomal RNA, 492 nt
Filed under: uncultured bacterium
Lineage: Bacteria
Description: partial 16S ribosomal RNA
Rfam family: Bacterial small subunit ribosomal RNA
Source: RNAcentral